GAACGCGAAGAACCUUACCAGGUCUUGACAUCUGUAGAACCUUUACGAAAGUAGGGGGUGCCUUCGGGAGCUACAAGACAGGUGGUGCAUGGUUGUCGUCAGCUCGUGUCGUGAGAUGUUGGGUUAAGUCCCGCAACGAGCGCAACCCUUGCUAUUAGUUGCUAACAGGUUAAGCUGAGCACUCUAAUGGGACUGCCCGUGACAAGCGGGAGGAAGGUGGGGAUGACGUCAAAUCAUCAUGCCCUUUAUGAUCUGGGCUACACACGUGCUACAAUGGAUGGUACAGAGAGCAGCGAGGCCGCGAGGUGGAGCGAAUCUCAAAAAGCCAUUCUCAGUUCGGAUUGCAGUCUGCAACUCGACUGCAUGAAGUCGGAAUCGCUAGUAAUCGCGGAUCAGCACGUCGCGGUGAAUGCGUUCCCGGGCCUUGUACACACCG
Molecule: ribosomal RNA, 436 nt
Filed under: uncultured bacterium
Lineage: Bacteria
Description: bacterial SSU rRNA
Rfam family: Bacterial small subunit ribosomal RNA
Source: RNAcentral